UACGGAGGAUCCGAGCGUUAUCCGGAUUUAUUGGGUUUAAAGGGAGCGUAGGUGGAUUGUUAAGUCAGUUGUGAAAGUUUGCGGCUCAACCGUAAAAUUGCAGUUGAAACUGGCAGUCUUGAGUACGGUAGAGGUGGGCGGAAUUCGUGGUGUAGCGGUGAAAUGCUUAGAUAUCACGAAGAACUCCGAUUGCGAAGGCAGCUCACUGGACUGCAACUGACACUGAGGCUCGAAAGCGUGGGGAGCAAACAGG
This 253-nucleotide ribosomal RNA is filed under the name uncultured bacterium. RNAcentral's name for it is "partial 16S ribosomal RNA". It matches the Rfam family "Bacterial small subunit ribosomal RNA", at positions 524 to 776 of the family's 1533-position model. The record is from RNAcentral.